GAUGAACGCUGGCGGCGUGCCUAAUACAUGCAAGUCGAGCGAACGGACGAGAAGCUUGCUUCUCUGAUGUUAGCGGCGGACGGGUGAGUAACACGUGGAUAACCUACCUAUAAGACUGGGAUAACUUCGGGAAACCGUAGCUAAUACAGGAUAAUAUUUUGAACCGCAUGGUUCAAAAGUGAAAGACGGUCUUGAUGUCACUUAUAGAUGGAUCCGCGCUGCAUUAGCUAGUUGGUAAGGUAACGGCUUACCAAGGCAACGAUGCAUAGCCGACCUGAGAGGGUGAUCGGCCACACUGGAACUGAGACACGGUCCAGACUCCUACGGGAGGCAGCAGUAGGGAAUCUUCCGCAAUGGGCGAAAGCCUGAUGGAGCAACGCCGCGUGAGUGAUGAAGGUCUUCGGAUCGUAAAACUCUGUUAUUAGGGAAGAACAUAUGUUUAAGUAACUGUGCACAUCUUGACGGUACCUAAUCAGAAAGCCACGGCUAACUACGUG
RNAcentral lists this ribosomal RNA (497 nucleotides) under uncultured bacterium. RNAcentral's name for it is "partial 16S ribosomal RNA". It matches the Rfam family "Bacterial small subunit ribosomal RNA", at positions 28 to 507 of the family's 1533-position model. The record is from RNAcentral.